This 499-nucleotide ribosomal RNA is filed under the name uncultured bacterium. RNAcentral's name for it is "partial 16S ribosomal RNA". It matches the Rfam family "Bacterial small subunit ribosomal RNA", at positions 28 to 507 of the family's 1533-position model. The record is from RNAcentral.
GACGAACGCUGGCGGCGUGCCUAAUACAUGCAAGUCGAGCGAAGUUUUUCUGGUGCUUGCACUAGAAAAACUUAGCGGCGAACGGGUGAGUAACACGUAAAGAACCUGCCUCAUAGACUGGGACAACUAUUGGAAACGAUAGCUAAUACCGGAUAACAGUAUUUCUCGCAUGAGAGAUAUUUAAAAGUUGGUUAUGCUAACACUAUGAGAUGGCUUUGCGGUGCAUUAGCUAGUUGGUGGGGUAAAGGCCCACCAAGGCGACGAUGCAUAGCCGACCUGAGAGGGUGAUCGGCCACACUGGGACUGAGACACGGCCCAGACUCCUACGGGAGGCAGCAGUAGGGAAUCUUCCGCAAUGGGCGAAAGCCUGACGGAGCAACGCCGCGUGAGUGAUGAAGGAUUUCGGUUCGUAAAGCUCUGUUGUUAGGGAAGAAUGGAUAUGUAGUAACUAUACAUGUAAGAGACGGUACCUAACCAGAAAGCCAUGGCUAACUACGUG